UCUAUGGAGAGUUUGAUCCUGGCUCAGGACGAACGCUGGCGGCGUGCCUAAUACAUGCAAGUCGAGCGGAGAUUUGAAAAGCUUGCUUUUCAAAUCUUAGCGGCGGACGGGUGAGUAACACGUGGGCAACCUGCCCUUGAGACGGGGAUAACUCCGGGAAACCGGAGCUAAUACCGGAUAACACAUAUCUUCGCAUGAGGAUAUGUUAGAAGGUGGCUUUUA
RNAcentral lists this ribosomal RNA (222 nucleotides) under Priestia filamentosa. RNAcentral's name for it is "partial 16S ribosomal RNA". It matches the Rfam family "Bacterial small subunit ribosomal RNA", at positions 1 to 217 of the family's 1533-position model. The record is from RNAcentral. Lineage: Bacteria; Bacillati; Bacillota; Bacilli; Caryophanales; Bacillaceae.